RNAcentral lists this ribosomal RNA (416 nucleotides) under uncultured bacterium. RNAcentral's name for it is "bacterial SSU rRNA". It matches the Rfam family "Bacterial small subunit ribosomal RNA", at positions 506 to 920 of the family's 1533-position model. The record is from RNAcentral.
AGCCAGCAGCCGCGGUAAUACGGAGGGGGCAAACGUUGUUCGGAAUUACUGGGCGUAAAGGGUGCGUAGGCGGUUCGAUUAGUCUUGCGUGAAAUCUCUCGGCUUACCCGGGAAACUGCGCUGGAUACUGUCGAGCUCGAGGAUGGGAGAGGCAGAUGGAAUUCCUGGUGUAGCGGUGGAAUGCGUAGAUAUCAGGAAGAACACUCAUGGCGAAGGCAGUCUGCUGGCCCACACCUGACGCUGAGGCACGAAAGCCAGGGGAGCAAACGGGAUUAGAUACCCCGGUAGUCCUGGCCCUAAACGGUGAACACUAGGUGUCGGGGGUAUCGACCCCCUCGGCGCCGUAGCUAACGCGUUAAGUGUUCCGCCUGGGGAGUACGACCGCAAGGUUGAAACUUAAAGGAAUUGGCGGGGGA